GUCCUCGUCAACAGGUGCUCGUCAACAGGUGCUCGUCAACAGGUGCUCGUCAACAGGUGCUCGUCAACAGGUCCUCGUCAACAGGUCCUCGUCAACAGGCCCGGACUCCCAGAGCAACAGGUCCUCGUCAACAGGUGCUCGUCAACAGGUGCUCGUCAACAGGUGCUCGUCAACAGGUCCUCGUCAACAGGUCCUCGUCAACAGGUCCUCGUCAACAGGUCCUCGUCAACAGGUCCUCGUCAACAGGUCCUCGUCAACAGGUCCUCGUCAACAGGUCCUCGUCAACAGGUCCUCGUCAACAGGUCCUCGUCAACAGGUCCUCGUCAACAGGUCCUCGUCAACAGGUCCUCGUCAACAGGUCCUCGUCAACAGACAGGAGAAACGCUGACAGACUUGAUCCUCUCUCAUUUAGUAGACGACGUGAGGCACAGUUGACAGAAGUAUCCGAGUACGGAACAAUUUUUUCCGUAUCUGAAAAGUUUAUCUAUACCGUACAGCGCUAAUCCUUCUUGUUCACUUCUGCAAAUGGCUGCCUUCUAAAUUAAAGUGCCACUAGCCACCACUGUAUCCUAAGGCCCAUUUGGUUUAUGAUGAACAUAUUUGUCCUAAGACAUCACUUCCUGUUUGCUAAUACAUUUUUUAUUUUUCACCUUUUAUUUAACGAGUCAGGUCAGUUAAGAACAAAUUAUUAUUUUCAAUGAUGGCCUGAGAACAGUGG
Oncorhynchus keta (chum salmon) is the source of this 718-nucleotide long non-coding RNA. RefSeq lists it as uncharacterized. Lineage: Eukaryota; Metazoa; Chordata; Actinopteri; Salmoniformes; Salmonidae. The transcript has 3 exons. The record is from RefSeq and is a predicted model, not a curated record.